UAAUACGGAGGGUGCAAGCGUUGCUCGGAAUUAUUGGGCGUAAAGCGCGUGUAGGCGGCUUUGUAAGUCUGGUGUGAAAUCCCGGGGCUUAACUCCGGAACGGCACUGGAUACUGCAAAGCUAGAGGGCGAGAGAGGAUGGUGGAAUUCCUGGUGUAGGGGUGAAAUCCGUAGAUAUCAGGAGGAACAUCAGUGGCGAAGGCGGCCAUCUGGCUCGCACCUGACGCUGAGACGCGAAAGCGUGGGUAGCAAACAGGAUUAGAUACCCUGGUAGUCCACGCCCUAAACGAUGAUUACUAGACGUCAGAAAGCCUAAUCUUUUUGGUGUCGCAGCUAACGCAUUAAGUAAUCCGCCUGGGAAGUACGGUCGCAAGAUUA
RNAcentral lists this ribosomal RNA (377 nucleotides) under uncultured bacterium. Its description in RNAcentral is "bacterial SSU rRNA". It matches the Rfam family "Bacterial small subunit ribosomal RNA", at positions 521 to 896 of the family's 1533-position model. The record is from RNAcentral.